Molecule: ribosomal RNA, 496 nt
Filed under: uncultured bacterium
Lineage: Bacteria
Description: partial 16S ribosomal RNA
Rfam family: Bacterial small subunit ribosomal RNA
Source: RNAcentral
AUGAACGCUGGCGGCGUGCCUAAUACAUGCAAGUCGAGCGAACGGACGAGAAGCUUGCUUCUCUGAUGUUAGCGGCGGACGGGUGAGUAACACGUGGAUAACCUACCUAUAAGACUGGGAUAACUUCGGGAAACCGGAGCUAAUACCGGAUAAUAUUUUGAACCGCAUGGUUCAAAAGUAAAAGACGGUCUUGCUGUCACUUAUAGAUGGAUCCGCGCUGCAUUAGCUAGUUGGUAAGGUGACGGCUUACCAAGGCAACGAUGCAUAGCCGACCUGAGAGGGUGAUCGGCCACACUGGAACUGAGACACGGUCCAGACUCCUACGGGAGGCAGCAGUAGGGAAUCUUCCGCAAUGGGCGAAAGCCUGACGGAGCAACGCCGCGUGAGUGAUGAAGGUCUUCGGAUCGUAAAACUCUGUUAUUAGGGAAGAACAUAUGUGUAAGUAACUGUGCACAUCUUGACGGUACCUAAUCAGAAAGCCACGGCUAACUACGUG